This 727-nucleotide ribosomal RNA is filed under the name uncultured bacterium. RNAcentral's name for it is "bacterial SSU rRNA". It matches the Rfam family "Bacterial small subunit ribosomal RNA", at positions 65 to 775 of the family's 1533-position model. The record is from RNAcentral.
AGAUUCACUUCGGUGAUGACGCUGGGAACGCGAGCGGCGGAUGGGUGAGUAACACGUGGGUAACCUGCCCUAAAGUCUGGGAUACCACUUGGAAACAGGUGCUAAUACCGGAUAACAACAAUAGCUGCAUGGCUAUUGCUUAAAAGGCGGCGAAAGCUGUCGCUAAAGGAUGGACCCGCGGUGCAUUAGCUAGUUGGUAAGGUAAUGGCUUACCAAGGCGACGAUGCAUAGCCGAGUUGAGAGACUGAUCGGCCACAUUGGGACUGAGACACGGCCCAAACUCCUACGGGAGGCAGCAGUAGGGAAUCUUCCACAAUGGGCGAAAGCCUGAUGGAGCAACGCCGCGUGAGUGAGGAAGGUUUUCGGAUCGUAAAGCUCUGUUGUUGGUGAAGAAGGAUAGAGGUAGUAACUGGCCCCUAUUUGACGGUAAUCAACCAGAAAGUCACGGCUAACUACGUGCCAGCAGCCGCGGUAAUACGUAGGUGGCAAGCGUUGUCCGGAUUUAUUGGGCGUAAAGCGAGCGCAGGCGGAAAGAUAAGUCUGAUGUGAAAGCCCCCGGCUUAACCGAGGAAUUGCAUCGGAAACUGUGUUUCUUGAGUGCAGAAGAGGAGAGUGGAACUCCAUGUGUAGCGGUGGAAUGCGUAGAUAUAUGGAAGAACACCAGUGGCGAAGGCGGCUCUCUGGUCUGUAACUGACGCUGAGGCUCGAAAGCAUGGGUAGCGAACAG